This 468-nucleotide ribosomal RNA is filed under the name uncultured bacterium. RNAcentral describes it as "partial 16S ribosomal RNA". It matches the Rfam family "Bacterial small subunit ribosomal RNA", at positions 28 to 507 of the family's 1533-position model. The record is from RNAcentral.
GACGAACGCUGGCGGCGUGCUUAACACAUGCAAGUCGAACGGAAAGGCCCUGCUUUUGUGGGGUGCUCGAGUGGCGAACGGGGGAGUAACACGUGAGUAACCUGCCAUUGACUUUGGGAUAACUUCAGGAAACUGGGGCUAAUACCGGAUAGGAGCUCCUGCUGCAUGGUGGGGGUUGGAAAGUUUCGGCGGUUGGGGAUGGACUCGCGGCUUAUCAGCUUGUUGGUGGGGUAGUGGCUUACCAAGGCUUUGACGGGUAGCCGGCCUGAGAGGGUGACCGGCCACAUUGGGACUGGGAUACGGCACAGACUCCUACGGGAGGCAGCAGUGGGGAAUAUUGCACAAUGGGCGGAAGCCUGAUGCAGCAACGCCGCGUGCGGGAUGACGGCCUUCGGGUUGUAAUCCGCUUUCGCCUGUGACGAAGCGUGAGUGACGGUAAUGGGUAAAGAAGCACCGGCUAACUACGUG